This 428-nucleotide ribosomal RNA is filed under the name actinobacterium SCGC AAA044-D05. Its description in RNAcentral is "bacterial SSU rRNA". It matches the Rfam family "Bacterial small subunit ribosomal RNA", at positions 359 to 800 of the family's 1533-position model. The record is from RNAcentral. Lineage: Bacteria; Bacillati; Actinomycetota; Actinomycetes.
AUAUUGCGGCAAUGGAGGAAACUCUGACCCAGCGACGCCGCGUGCGGGAUGAAGGCCUUCGGGUUGUAAACCGCUUUCAGCAGGGAAGAAGCGAAAGUGACGGUACCUGCAGAAGAAGCACCGGCUAACUAUGUGCCAGCAGCCGCGGUAAUACAUAGGGUGCAAGCGUUGUCCGGAAUUAUUGGGCGUAAAGAGCUCGUAGGUGGUUCGUCACGUCGGAUGUGAAAAUCUGGGGCUCAACCCCAGACCUGCAUUCGAUACGGGCGAGCUAGAGUUUGGUAGGGGAGACUGGAAUUCCUGGUGUAGCGGUGGAAUGCGCAGAUAUCAGGAGGAACACCAAUGGCGAAGGCAGGUCUCUGGGCCAAUACUGACACUGAGGAGCGAAAGCGCGGGGAGCGAACAGGAUUAGAUACCCGCGUAGUCCGGUC